RNAcentral lists this unclassified non-coding RNA (20 nucleotides) under Mus musculus (house mouse). RNAcentral's name for it is "oocyte_clustered_small_RNA5857". The record is from RNAcentral. Lineage: Eukaryota; Metazoa; Chordata; Mammalia; Rodentia; Muridae.
UAUAUAACCACCAGUUGAGC